UACGAAGGGGGCUAGCGUUGCUCGGAAUUACUGGGCGUAAAGGGCUCGUAGGCGGCCAACUAAGUCGGACGUGAAAUCCCUCGGCUUAACUGGGGAACUGCGUCUGAUACUGGAUGGCUUGGAUUUGGGAGAGGGAUGCGGAAUUCCAGGUGUAGCGGUGAAAUGCGUAGAUAUCUGGAGGAACACCGGUGGCGAAGGCGGCAUCCUGGACCAACAUUGACGCUGAGGAGCGAAAGCCAGGGGAGCAAACGGG
RNAcentral lists this ribosomal RNA (253 nucleotides) under uncultured bacterium. RNAcentral describes it as "partial 16S ribosomal RNA". It matches the Rfam family "Bacterial small subunit ribosomal RNA", at positions 524 to 776 of the family's 1533-position model. The record is from RNAcentral.